RNAcentral lists this ribosomal RNA (337 nucleotides) under uncultured bacterium. RNAcentral describes it as "bacterial SSU rRNA". It matches the Rfam family "Bacterial small subunit ribosomal RNA", at positions 154 to 509 of the family's 1533-position model. The record is from RNAcentral.
AAACGGCUGAUAAUACCGCAUAAGCGCACAGUAAGACAUCUUACCGUGUGAAAAACUCCGGUGGUACAGGAUGGUCCCGCGUCUGAUUAGCUAGUUGGUGAGGUAAAAGCUCACCAAGGCGACGAUCAGUAGCCGGCCUGAGAGGGUGAACGGCCACAUUGGGACUGAGACACGGCCCAGACUCCUACGGGAGGCAGCAGUGGGGAAUAUUGCACAAUGGAGGAAACUCUGAUGCAGCGACGCCGCGUGAGUGAGGAAGUAUUUCGGUAUGUAAAGCUCUAUCAGCAGGGAAGAUAAUGACGGUACCUGAGUAAGAAGCACCGGCUAAAUACGUGCC